CGUACACUCCUACGGGAGGCAGCAGUGGGGAAUAUUGGACAAUGGGCGCAAGCCUGAUCCAGCCAUGCCGCGUGAGUGAUGAAGGCCCUAGGGUUGUAAAGCUCUUUCACCGGUGAAGAUAAUGACGGUAACCGGAGAAGAAGCCCCGGCUAACUUCGUGCCAGCAGCCGCGGUAAUACGAAGGGGGCUAGCGUUGUUCGGAUUUACUGGGCGUAAAGCGCACGUAGGCGGACUAUUAAGUCAGGGGUGAAAUCCCGGGGCUCAACCCCGGAACUGCCUUUGAUACUGGUAGUCUUGAGUUCGAGAGAGGUGAGUGGAAUUCCGAGUGUAGAGGUGAAAUUCGUAGAUAUUCGGAGGAACACCAGUGGCGAAGGCGGCUCACUGGCUCGAUACUGACGCUGAGGUGCGAAAGCGUGGGGAGCAAACAGGAUUAGAUACCCCUGUAGUCCCAUG
Molecule: ribosomal RNA, 453 nt
Filed under: uncultured organism
Description: partial 16S ribosomal RNA
Rfam family: Bacterial small subunit ribosomal RNA
Source: RNAcentral